UGAGACCAAAGACCCUGCUUAUUUCUGU
Molecule: non-coding RNA, 28 nt
Filed under: Mus musculus (house mouse)
Lineage: Eukaryota; Metazoa; Chordata; Mammalia; Rodentia; Muridae
Source: RNAcentral